RNAcentral lists this ribosomal RNA (465 nucleotides) under uncultured bacterium. RNAcentral describes it as "bacterial SSU rRNA". It matches the Rfam family "Bacterial small subunit ribosomal RNA", at positions 338 to 795 of the family's 1533-position model. The record is from RNAcentral.
CCUACGGGUGGCACCAGUAGGGAAUCUUCGGCAGUGGACGAAAGUCUGACCGAGCAACGCCGCGUGAGUGAAGAAGGUUUUCGGAUCGUAAAACUCUGUUGUUAGAGAAGAACAAGUAGGAGAGUAACUGCUCUUACCUUGACGGUAUCUAACCAGAAAGCCACGGCUAACUACGCGCCAGCAGCCGCGGUAAUACGUAGGUGGCAAGCGUUGUCCGGAUUUAUUGGGCGUGAAGCGAGCGCAGGCGGUCUUUUAAGUCUGAUGUGAAAGCCCUCGGCUCAACCGAGGAAGGUCAUUGGAAACUGGGGGACUUGAGUGCAGAAGAGGAGAGUGGAAUUCCAUGUGUAGUGGUGAAAUGCGUAGAUAUAUGGAGGAACACCAGUGGCGAAGGCGACUCUCUGGUCUGUAACUGACGCUGAGGCUCGAAAGCGUGGGGAGCAAACAGGAUUAGAUACCCUCGUAGUC